CAUUAAGAAGCUAUAAGUCAGCGAUAACCUUUUAAGUUAUAGAUAGGUGAUUACACCCACCCUUAAUG
RNAcentral lists this transfer RNA (68 nucleotides) under Nanorana yunnanensis (Yunan spiny frog). Its description in RNAcentral is "tRNA-Lys". The record is from RNAcentral. Lineage: Eukaryota; Metazoa; Chordata; Amphibia; Anura; Dicroglossidae.